UACACCUCUUCAACUGCGACACAUACCAGUGUCAUGGAUCCGUCCCAAUUCCGUUGACAGCUCCAAACGAUAGGCCACCCUUCCUACCUUCGCACCUUCACGAAAAGACCCAACAUACCGGGGCCCCCCAUUUACCCCUCUUCCUAAAUCGAAGCACCCGACAGAAAUACGAAGUCGCUGACCUGAAUCACAUACUCGUAACGGCGUCUGCCUGCAUAACUUUCCUGUUAACUCUAAACGAUCACUAACUCUCUUUAACCUGCUGAGUCUGCUUUGUCAACUAAAGUACGAACUCUGAACUGCUCAUCACUCUCUGUAAUCGGAAAUUACCCAAGAUGCACUCUGCUCCAAAUCUCAACGAUCACUCAACCCAUAAGGG
Molecule: long non-coding RNA, 379 nt
Filed under: Lactuca sativa (garden lettuce)
Lineage: Eukaryota; Viridiplantae; Streptophyta; Magnoliopsida; Asterales; Asteraceae
Description: long non-coding RNA (LSAT_LNC002024)
Source: RNAcentral